GACGAACGCUGGCGGCGUGCUUAACACAUGCAAGUCGAACGGAAAGGCCUGUCCUUCCUUGUGUUGGACGGGUACUCGAGUGGCGAACGGGUGAGUAACACGUGAGUGAUCUGCCCCCAACUUGGGUAUAAGCCUGGGAUACUGGGCCUAAUUCCCGAUAGGACUGCAGGGUGGUGCCUGUGGUGGAAAACUAUUUUCUAGUGGUUGGGGAUGAGCUCUCGGCCUAUCAGCUUGUUGGGGGGGUAAUGUCCUACCAAGGCGGCGACGGGUAGCCGGCCGGGGAGUGUGGACGGCGACAUUGGGACUGAGAUACGGCCCAGACUCCUACGGGAGGCAGCAGUGGGGAAUAUUGCAGAAUGGGCGGAAGCCUGAUGGAGCGACGCUGCGUGGGGGAUGACGGCCUUCGGGUUGUAAACUACUUACGACCGCGAGGAAGCCGCCUGGUUGGAAGGGUGGUGACGGUAGUGGUAGAAGAAGCACUGGCUAACUACGUG
Molecule: ribosomal RNA, 494 nt
Filed under: uncultured bacterium
Lineage: Bacteria
Description: partial 16S ribosomal RNA
Rfam family: Bacterial small subunit ribosomal RNA
Source: RNAcentral